UACGGAGGAUCCAAGCGUUAUCCGGAUUCAUUGGGUUUAAAGGGUGCGUAGGCGGAAUGAUAAGUCAGUGGUGAAAGCCUGCAGCUUAACUGCAGAACUGCCAUUGAUACUGUCAAUCUUGAGUACAUUUGAUGUGGGCGGAAUGUGUCAUGUAGCGGUGAAAUGCUUAGAUAUGACACAGAACACCGAUUGCGAAGGCAGCUCACAAAACUGUAACUGACGCUGAGGCACGAAAGCGUGGGUAU
RNAcentral lists this ribosomal RNA (245 nucleotides) under uncultured Bacteroidota bacterium. RNAcentral describes it as "uncultured Bacteroidetes bacterium partial 16S ribosomal RNA". It matches the Rfam family "Bacterial small subunit ribosomal RNA", at positions 524 to 768 of the family's 1533-position model. Lineage: Bacteria; Pseudomonadati; Bacteroidota. The record is from RNAcentral.